Molecule: long non-coding RNA, 1318 nt
Organism: Artibeus jamaicensis (Jamaican fruit-eating bat)
Lineage: Eukaryota; Metazoa; Chordata; Mammalia; Chiroptera; Phyllostomidae
Exons: 3
Source: RefSeq, a predicted model, not a curated record
AACAAGAAAGAAAAAGUGGGGUGGAGACCCAAAGUGACUAUUAAGAGAUCAGAUAUCCAGUUUGUUGGCCCUGCUCAGAGCCCAAAAGGGCAACAGCAAAGGGACUGAGCUGCAGGGAAGGGAAUGUGAAGCAAGCUCACGUCUCUGCUUAUAGCCCUUCUCACUCACUAGGGGGUCUUGUAAAGUCAUAGGACAUGGAGCAGACACUCACGCAAGUAAGUGCACAUCCACACCUGAGCUGUCUUCUCCUAGAACGUGGCUGCCACUGACCUGAGUUACCUCAGCUAGAGGAAUGGGGUAGGGGGUAGGAAGCAAGAAGUUUGAACUAUUUCUGCCUAAUGGCAAAGGUCCUAUAGGGUGUCUCCAUGUCAAUUCGCCAGCACCAGGCCAGCCUCUUCCUCAUUCACCUGCAAGUAGCUGCACAGACGAACAGUCUAGUUCCUGAGGGAGUGUGUUGUUUCCUUUUCAUAAACUGCCCUGCACUAAACAGCCCAAGAUGGUCCUCCAUUCGAGUGGUAGAGUCCUUUCCUUCAAAGAAAGGAGGAAUGCUUACCAGAAGUUGUACAUUUGGCUUUACUGUCUUUUUCUCAUUUGCCUUCUGUUUUUUUCCUUCCUUCAGGAACAAGUGAAUGGCCAAGACAGGACUAACUCCAUAGUAGACUUCACCUGUUCGCUCACUCUCCUAGCUGGUCUCUCUUCUACUGACAGCCCGUGGUUUCAGCAGGAAUCCAGUUUCAUCUGCUGACCAGUUUUCCCUUGCCCCUCAUGUUUCAUUUGGCCCAGCCCCACGCCCCACCAUGUUUAAGGAAGAAAGGGAUGGGAUCGGAGGACUGCACACAGGGCAUCUGUGGCCUGAGCGCCUAGCCAGCUCACCUUAUAACUCACCUCUUUACAACCCACCAAUAGGCACAGAGAUGGAGGCUCAAAUGCAACCUGAUUGGGGAGUCUAGAGCCAGAAUCUGGUUUUCAUCAGAGAAUGCCGGAGAACCAGGGUGUCAGCUUUAUCUUGGCAAGGGGUAUGGAUAUGUGCACACUUCAUCCAGCUGAGUCUUCCAUCCAGAUCUGCUCCCUGGUUUCCCAGUGUGUCCACGGAGACAGCCCUCGGAACUGCUUCUCUUUGCUCCAAUCAUUGAAGGCCGUCACGAGCACCACGAUGAUCACCGAGAACAGAAUGGCUGCCCCCUCAAUCCAGCCGGCUUCGGACUCCCCUUCAUCUUCUGGGCUACUCACAGGAGGCCGAUAGAAGGACAGAACCAGGGAGAUGAUGGCUGCGAUCUCCAGGAUGAUGAGUGUGACAUCUUGAAGGGCUUCCCACACU